GAUGAACGCUGGCGGCGUGCCUAACACAUGCAAGUCGAACGAAGCUUGACGGAUGAUUUCUUCGGAAUGAAACCAGAUAUGACUUAGUGGCGGACGGGUGAGUAACACGUGAGCAACCUGCCUUUCAGAGGGGGAUAACGGCUGGAAACGGUCGCUAAUACCGCCUGAUGUGUUCGGAUGGCAUCAUCUGAACAUCAAAGAUUUAUCGCUGAAAGAUGGGCUCGCGUCUGAUUAGAUAGUUGGUGGGGUAACGGCCUACCAAGUCUACGAUCAGUAGCCGGACUGAGAGGUUGAACGGCCACAUUGGGACUGAGAUACGGCCCAGACUCCUACGGGAGGCAGCAGUGGGGAAUAUUGCACAAUGGGGGAAACCCUGAUGCAGCAACGCCGCGUGAAGGAUGACGUUUUUCGGAUUGUAAACUUCUUUUCUUAGCGACGAAGACAGUGACGUUAGCUAAUGAAUAAGCAUCGGCUAACUACGUG
This 483-nucleotide ribosomal RNA is filed under the name uncultured bacterium. Its description in RNAcentral is "partial 16S ribosomal RNA". It matches the Rfam family "Bacterial small subunit ribosomal RNA", at positions 28 to 507 of the family's 1533-position model. The record is from RNAcentral.